RNAcentral lists this non-coding RNA (24 nucleotides) under Arabidopsis thaliana (thale cress). Lineage: Eukaryota; Viridiplantae; Streptophyta; Magnoliopsida; Brassicales; Brassicaceae. The record is from RNAcentral.
GUGGGUGAUGGUUCUUGUCCCUUC